GACGAACGCUGGCGGCGUGCUUAACACAUGCAAGUCGAACGGAAAGGCCCCUUUGGGGGUACUCGAGUGGCGAACGGGUGAGUAACACGUGAGUAACCUGCCCUUGACUUCGGGAUAACUUCAGGAAACUGGGGCUAAUACCGGAUAGGAAUCCUUGCUGCAUGGUGGGGGUUGGAAAGCUUCGGCGGUUUUGGAUGGACUCGCGGCUUAUCAGCUUGUUGGUGGGGUAGUGGCUUACCAAGGCUUUGACGGGUAGCCGGCCUGAGAGGGCGACCGGCCACAUUGGGACUGAUAUACGGCCCAGACUCCUACGGGAGGCAGCAGUGGGGAAUAUUGCACAAUGGGCGGAAGCCUGAUGCAGCAACGCCGCGGGCGGGAUGACGGCCUUCGGGUUGUAAACCGCUUUCAGCAGGGGCGAAGCUUGUGGUGACGGUACCUGCAGAAGAAGCACCGGCUAACUACGUG
This 465-nucleotide ribosomal RNA is filed under the name uncultured bacterium. RNAcentral describes it as "partial 16S ribosomal RNA". It matches the Rfam family "Bacterial small subunit ribosomal RNA", at positions 28 to 507 of the family's 1533-position model. The record is from RNAcentral.